UUGAACGCUGGCGCAUGCCUUACACAUGCAAGUCGAACGGCAGCACGGGUGCUUGCACCUGGUGGCGAGUGGCGAACGGGUGAGUAAUACAUCGGAACAUGUCCUGUAGUGGGGGAUAGCCCGGCGAAAGCCGGAUUAAUACCGCAUACGAUCUACGGAUGAAAGCGGGGGACCUUCGGGCCUCGCGCUAUAGGGUUGGCCGAUGGCUGAUUAGCUAGUUGGUGGGGUAAAGGCCUACCAAGGCGACGAUCAGUAGCUGGUCUGAGAGGACGACCAGCCACACUGGGACUGAGACACGGCCCAGACUCCUACGGGAGGCAGCAGUGGGGAAUUUUGGACAAUGGGCGAAAGCCUGAUCCAGCAAUGCCGCGUGUGUGAAGAAGGCCUUCGGGUUGUAAAGCACUUUUGUCCGGAAAGAAAUCCUUGGUUCUAAUAUAGCCGGGGGAUGACGGUACCGGAAGAAUAAGCACCGGCUAACUACGUGCCAGCAGCCGCGGUAAUACGUAGGGUGCGAGCGUUAAUCGGAAUUACUGGGCGUAAAGCGUGCGCAGGCGGUUUGCUAAGACCGAUGUGAAAUCCCCGGGCUCAACCUGGGAACUGCAUUGGUGACUGGCAGGCUAGAGUAUGGCAGAGGGGGGUAGAAUUCCACGUGUAGCAGUGAAAUGCGUAGAGAUGUGGAGGAAUACCGAUGGCGAAGGCAGCCCCCUGGGCCAAUACUGACGCUCAUGCACGA
RNAcentral lists this ribosomal RNA (733 nucleotides) under uncultured beta proteobacterium. Its description in RNAcentral is "bacterial SSU rRNA". It matches the Rfam family "Bacterial small subunit ribosomal RNA", at positions 29 to 756 of the family's 1533-position model. The record is from RNAcentral. Lineage: Bacteria; Pseudomonadati; Pseudomonadota; Betaproteobacteria.